AGUUACCUUAAAUUCAGCUCAGCUUUACUUUUAAAAUAGUUGGAAUUACUAUUGUGAGCAUGAUCCCUCCCUUGGUAGAUUUGUCUUUGCAGACAGGUCCACUGAAUCCCUUCUCCCAUGAAACCACACAAGAGCGAGAUUGUCAGAAAUUAACAAUAUUUUCAGGGCGGUUACAGCCAAAAUAAUAGUAUGAAAAUGAAUAACCACAAAACCAUUCCACCUAAUAAGUCUUUUCAUUUGCAUCCUUGGCUGCCACACUUCUUGUCUGAAGGUGCAGGAUUACAGAAAUAUGUAAUACUUUUUUCUGUCACAUUGAACCCAGCUUUCAACUACAAGCUUAAAAAGCUAAUCCUCACCCCCAUCUAAUUAUAGUAUAGGUAUUGCUGCUGUCACUGACUUUUUAUUUCCUAGUUGUAAUUUUUAAUCUUCCUGUGAAAUAGCUUUAACAGUAGGUCCCCAUCUUCCAAGCAUUUACACACAAAGACAGAAGAAUUGCUCACAUCAGUCAAAGUUACUCAUUUACUUGUGGGAUCAGGGCUCUCUAGUUUGGAUGUAUUUUUAAUUUAGGAAAGCUACUGAACUGAUAUAAUUUGGGGUAGCAUCUUUGAAGGUUUGCAGUCCUCAUUAGGAAUAAGUGAACUUUUGUGUGUGUGGGUUUUUUGUUCUUUUUUUUUAAAGAAAACUAAGUUUGUAUACUACUUUAAGUCUGGCCCUGAUCCUGAAUGAGCUUCAUACAGGUGGUUUACAGGAUUGAGAUCUUUGUUUACUCACUAGAAGAGGAGAAUGCUGGAAAGCUCCAAAGCUUUCUGCACAUCUGUGUGGCCACGUGUAGAUUUACUCUGAAGCACUACGUUGCAAACAUCCCUGAAACACAUACAGCAAGCAGUAGCAUCAAAUUAGAAGGCAAAAAAUAUCAAGAAAGCAGAACAAUUAAUCUACCUGGGGAGCACCCAUAUUCACCAAUGGAGACCUCAAGAAGGAAGUGACAUAAAGAAUAGGAAAGGCAUCCACAGCAUUUACUAAACUCAACAAUGUAUAGAAAUUAAAGUUAAACAGCAUCAGAACAAAACUGAGAAUUUUCAAUUCAAAUGUAAUCUCAGUGCUAGCACAUGGCUGUGAGAGCUGGAGAGCUAUUAAAACAUUAGAUGGAAAACUAGAUGCCUUCAAAAAUACAUGCUUACAGAAGAUUUGGGGAAUAGCUUGUAAAGAUUUUGUCACCAAAGAAGAGAUCUGAGAAAUCAGCAAUGAGCAGCUUGCUUCCAUCAAAAUCCAAAGGAAGUAUUGGACAUAUUUGGGGCAUGUACUCCAGAUAUCAAUACACAUGCUUCUACAUGAAGCUGCCAAGUGGAAAACGAUUGGUGUGAGGAAACAAGAGCACCCAACAGAGACGUUAAGAAGAACACUUAACAGGGAGGGUAGAACAGUCGAUCUCAAUGCCCUAGAGCAAACAGAAGCAGCAGCAAAUUACAAUGAGGAAUGGAAGACUGGUUUCCACCCUGUGCACCAACUUUGCCUUGGGAAAGACGUAGAAUUAAGUUACUGAAAUUUACUGCCCAUUAUUUCUUCCAUAUAUUGAGUAUAUUGCAUUUAAAUGAGACAAUGAGUUAACAUCUCUGUUACACAAAGAGAAGGCUGAUAAAUAUUAAUGAGAUUUUCUUCUU
This is a long non-coding RNA of Chelonia mydas (Green sea turtle), 1661 nucleotides long. RefSeq lists it as uncharacterized. The record is from RefSeq and is a predicted model, not a curated record. The transcript has 2 exons. NCBI's taxonomy places the organism in Eukaryota, Metazoa, Chordata, Testudines, Cheloniidae.